Molecule: non-coding RNA, 233 nt
Organism: Pelobates cultripes (western spadefoot toad)
Lineage: Eukaryota; Metazoa; Chordata; Amphibia; Anura; Pelobatidae
Source: the annotation of a GenBank genome assembly
CCCAAGUGGAGAGGUCCUUAUGUUGUUCUUCUGUCUACCCUACAGCGAUAAAAGUAGCCGAAGUGGCUCCGUGGAUACAUCACUCCAGGGUUAAACCAGCAGCAGCCGAUUCCUGGCAAGUUACAGCAAAUCCAGAGAAUCCCUGCAAGAUCCGGUUAAAACGCACGACUCAGUCGGAGUGACGAGGAACCUUGUAGAUUACAAAUUUUAUUGUUUCAGAGACUUGGUAGGUG